GAUGAACGCUGGCGGCGUGCCUAAUACAUGCAAGUCGAGCGAACAGACGAGGAGCUUGCGCCUCUGACGUUAGCGGCGGACGGGUGAGUAACACGUGGAUAACCUACCUAUAAGACUGGGAUAACUUCGGGAAACCGGAGCUAAUACCGGAUAAUAUAUUUAACCGCAUGGUUCAGUAGUGAAAGACGGUUUUGCUGUCACUUAUACAUGGUUCCGCGCUGCAUUAGCUAGUUGGUAAGGUAAAGGCUUAGCAAGGCAGCGAUGGGUAGCCGACGUGAGAGGGGGAUCGGCCACACGGGAGCGUGGACGGGGUCCAUGCGCCUGCGGGAGGCACCAGUAGGGAACGUGCGGCAAUGGGCGAAAGUUUAACGGAGCAACGGCGAGUGAGUGAUGAAGGUCUUCGGUUCGUGAAGCUCUGUUAUUGGUGAAGAACAAAUUUGUAAGUAACCAUGCACUUCUUGACGGUACCUACACAGAAAGCCACGGCUAACUAUGUG
This 497-nucleotide ribosomal RNA is filed under the name uncultured bacterium. Its description in RNAcentral is "partial 16S ribosomal RNA". It matches the Rfam family "Bacterial small subunit ribosomal RNA", at positions 28 to 507 of the family's 1533-position model. The record is from RNAcentral.